RNAcentral lists this ribosomal RNA (252 nucleotides) under uncultured bacterium. RNAcentral describes it as "partial 16S ribosomal RNA". It matches the Rfam family "Bacterial small subunit ribosomal RNA", at positions 525 to 776 of the family's 1533-position model. The record is from RNAcentral.
ACGGAGGGUGCAAGCGUUAUCCGGAAUCACUGGGUUUAAAGGGUGCGUAGGCGGAAAAUUAAGUCAGUGGUGAAAUCUUGUCGCUUAACGAUAAAAUUGCCAUUGAUACUGGUAUUCUUGAAUUGGGUUGAGGUUAGCGGAAUGUGACAUGUAGCGGUGAAAUGCAUAGAUAUGUCAUGGAACACCAAUUGCGAAGGCAGCUAACUGGGCCUUGAUUGACGCUGAGGCACGAAAGCGUGGGUAGCGAACAGG